Long non-coding RNA from Aegilops tauschii subsp. strangulata, 2095 nucleotides. RefSeq lists it as uncharacterized. Lineage: Eukaryota; Viridiplantae; Streptophyta; Magnoliopsida; Poales; Poaceae. The record is from RefSeq and is a predicted model, not a curated record.
ACGAGCGAGGCCGCCCGCCCUCGAGCAAGAACCACUCGCACGCACGACUCGCUCAGCAAAUCGUGCGCCGCCGCCCUCCAUCCUUCGCCACCGCCGAUCCAUCCCUUCGCCGCCGCCGCUCCAUCCCUUCGCCGCCGACCUCGCACAUCAAAGCCGCCGCCGCUCCAUCCCUUCGCCGCCGCCCUCGCACAUCGAAGCCGCCGCCCACGAUCCAGGAGACGCCGUCGAUCCCGUUGAGGACCUGCUGCCCAUCAUGUCGAGGAUCCGAAGACGAUCCCCUUCAGGAGCCUUCCCGAUCCUUCUCCACACGCCACCGCCUCCCUUGCGAAGACGCCUUGCCAUGGAUCUCAAUCGGCGCUACGACGGCCGUGGCCUCCCCACCCGCCGACGUUCCAGAUCCGGCCAUCGUUGACCCCCUCCACAUCAGUGAUUGGUCAAGGUAGGGGUGUGUGGCUCUAUCCAUCUUCCUGCGUGUACGGCGUCCGUGUAUCCCGGGCAAGGGUGCUUGUGAGAUCGGGAGGCGAUCAAAAGGAGGAAGAGGAAAUCCAUGGUUGGGGAUACAUUCAACGACCUAGGCAUCAUCCUCCCUGACGUCCUAUACUCGAAGCCCGCAGCCAUUGCCUUCUCAAUCUACGUUAGUCAGCAGCAGCAAGGUCAGGCCCCACUAUAUUUUCUUGAGAUCUUGCAUCGCCAUGGUGACUCCACAAAAUUUGUACAUCCAUUGCCGACGUUGGUAUUUAUUCAGCAGAGAAUUAACAACAGUAGACCAAAGCAAAGGGGGGUCAGCCUGAAUGGGACGUAUCCCCUUCCAGAGGACUCGCCCUAGCUAGCCUGCAUGGUACCUUUCAUUAGCACUUCUCCCAGUAAGUUUGCAAAUUUUGGAUCCACCACUUUUGAAUCAUGCUUGGUGUGUGCUGACGGUGCACGAGGAACGUGACGGUUUUUCUCUGAAUCAUGCCAUAGUUCUCUCAAUAUUGUACGUGUUGUUCUCUCAGCAUUGUACGUGUUGUUCUCUGCAUGAUGUGUGGUGGAUGGGGAUGCGGAGGCGACGACUGGCGGCUGUUCUAUUUACACCUGACAUGGGGUUGAGAGGCUAGGGAGCAGGCGAUUUUGCACUCGUAUUUGGUCGGCAAUGGAGAUGAAUUUGUGAGAGAUGUGGCUGGGAGUUGCACCGGUCAUUUUUCUGCCCUCUCUAUGUUAUCCCUUUGCACUAAUCGGUAAUUGCUUUUUGACCAGGGGAUAGGGUAGCGUACACGAACAGCAAAAUUGUAGAAACGAGGAGGACAAUCUGAGUGACCAACAUUAUGUGGAGUAUUGAGAUGCAGAUCCAUCUUCACCGACAGCACGCGCUUGUCUGUGACCUCCCACCAGCAGCGCCUUGAGGUCACCCACACAAGCGACAAAGCAAUUCCACGCUGUCACCCUCUGCUACUUCGCCAACGACAUCGAGGAGGUCGUGGGUGAGAGCUACUGUCCUCCCUGGAGAACAUGCUCGUGCCCCAUGCGUACGAAGAAGAGCUAAGACACUCGCAUGGGUGCUCAAGGAAAUAAACCAGAUUGAGCGAGCUUUAAUGUGACAGAGGAUCAUGGUGGUCGAUGGAUUGUGCACCCGGUAGUAGACUAAGAAAGGAACAUUAUUUAUGGAACACAAUGAUAUUCAGAGCAGCCCUGCACUAUGUGAGAUUUAGAAGUUGGUACUGCCGGCAGAUGCAUCCAUGUGCUAAUCUCCUGGCACCGCGUAGACGGAGCCAAACGAGUUGGGGCCUCCAGCCGGCUGGUAGUGGACAACAACACCGGGUUUGCUAAUUACUCAACAAGUCACAGAUUGAUCUCUUUUUUGAUUGGUUUGGUGUGGAUUAUCAGGCCUGCCGCGCAAUCAUAGAUUUAUCUUUUGAUUUAUGUGGGUGGACAGAAACACCCUUUCUAAAGUUUUCUAGGGAUUGUAAUGAAGCACAGUAACACACUCCAGCAUUCGUUCUUUGCUUGAUAUUAGCAAACAAUGUAAAAUAACCAAGCUCACAACAUUCUAAAGCGGUCUAUUAGCUACUUCAGCAGACAACAGACAGAAAGAAGUAAGCAGUAUUUGAUUUGCUCA